This 484-nucleotide ribosomal RNA is filed under the name uncultured bacterium. Its description in RNAcentral is "partial 16S ribosomal RNA". The record is from RNAcentral.
GUAGUUAGCCGGGGCUUCCUCCUUGGGUACCGUCACUUCCUUCGUCCCCAAGGACAGAGGUUUACAACCCGAAGGCCUUCUUCCCUCACGCGGCGUUGCUGGGUCAGGGUUUCCCCCAUUGCCCAAUAUUCCCCACUGCUGCCUCCCGUAGGAGUCUGGACCGUGUCUCAGUUCCAGUGUGGCCGAUCAGCCUCUCAGCUCGGCUACCCAUCGCAGACUUGGUAGGCCGUUACCCUGCCAACUAUCUAAUGGGACGCGAGCCCCUCCUCUUGCGGAUUGCUCCUUUGACCCCUCUCCCAUGUGGAAGUGUGGUCUUAUGCGGUAUUAGCACCUGUUUCCAAGUGUUAUCCCCCUCAAAGGUCAGGUUGCUCACGCGUUACUCACCCGUUCGCUACUAGAGUAAAUACCGAAAUAUCUACCCCCGUUCGACUUGCAUGUGUUAGGCACGCCGCCAGCGUUCGUCCUGAGCAGAUACAACUACUGA